GGAUGUAGCUCAAUGGUAGAGCAUUUACCUAGCAUGUAUGAAGUCCUGGGUUUAAUCCCCAGUACUACCA
This 70-nucleotide transfer RNA is filed under the name Fukomys damarensis (Damara mole-rat). It matches the Rfam family "tRNA". Rfam says of the family: Transfer RNA (tRNA) molecules are approximately 80 nucleotides in length. Their secondary structure includes four short double-helical elements and three loops (D, anti-codon, and T loops). Lineage: Eukaryota; Metazoa; Chordata; Mammalia; Rodentia; Bathyergidae. The record is from Rfam by way of RNAcentral.